Molecule: small nucleolar RNA, 110 nt
Organism: Eutrema salsugineum
Lineage: Eukaryota; Viridiplantae; Streptophyta; Magnoliopsida; Brassicales; Brassicaceae
Rfam family: Plant small nucleolar RNA R71
About the family: R71 is a member of the C/D box family of snoRNAs containing the C (UGAUGA) and D (CUGA) box motifs. Multiple nearly identical copies of this snoRNA have been identified in Arabidopsis, and it is thought to function as a 2'-O-ribose methylation guide for 18S ribosomal RNA.
Source: Rfam
AACCCGUGAUGUGGACAAUCUCUUUGAUAUUCUCUACAUCUCUCCCAUGCAUCUUUAAGAUCUUCGUCUUCCUUUUCUUUGAAAUUUCUUAUCUUGUUCCUUAAGAGGUU